AACAGGGUGUGGUAGCUCAACCUCUAAUCCCUGCAACUGGAGAGGUGGGAGGAUCACUUGAACCCAGGAGUUGUAGUGAACUAAGAUUGUGUCACUAUACUCCAGGCUGGGUGACAGAGCAAAACCCUGUAUCUUUAAAAAAAAAAAAGAAAAGUGAAUUAACAGCAUUUCUAGAGGAAUUUGAAAUAAAGAAUGAAGGCAUUUCUGGAGUCCAAAUUGCUACAUAGGAGUAAAACUUGCAAAUAAGAAAACAGCUUUAAAAAAUUACCAGGAAAAUUAAGUAGGACAAACCACUAUAGGUAAUUUUUUUUAAAACAAAGUGAGGUCUCACUUUGAACUCCUGAGCUCAAGAGAUCAUCCUGCCUCCCAGGUUGCUGCGACUAUAGGAGUAUGCCUCUGAGCCCAGCUAGCCACUGUAGGGGAUUUUUAAAAUCCCAUCCUUGUACAGAUACAGCCCUUUAAAUUUUAUAAAGUUCUAGAAAUAAAGACUUACAUAGAAAUGAAAGCCAGGUAUGUAUUAGAAGAAAUAAUUCUCUAGUAAGAGAAGGCAUCUGUGACUGGGGUCCCCUAUAGCUAUGGCUGCUGCCACUGCUGCCUUGGCACACAGUGCCCCUGUCCCAGGAGGAAUUGCUCCCUGUCACAUAAUAAGGAAUAUAUAUGGGUAGAUGGUGAGAAAGUACUUAGUGGAUACAAUGUCUGUUACUCCAGUGAUGGAUACACUAAAAGUCCUGACUUCACCACUAUUCAGUAUCCAUGUGACAAAAUUACACUUGUACCCCAUACACUUAUGCAAAUAUAUAUAUAUUUGUUCUCUGCUCCUCUUUGGGAGUCUCUGAAGUGUAAGGGUCUUUAUGUAUGCUAAUGAGAUGACCGGUGGUUGGCUAACCUCAGGAUGGCAUGGGCAGGUUGCCAGGGGAACCAAUCAUGUGAUAAGAGGCUUUGAACUUUGAGCCCCAUCUCCCACUCUGCUGGGAGGGGAGAAGAGCUGGAGACUGAGGUAAUAAUCAACCAUGCCUACAGGAUGAAGCCGCUAUACAAAUCCCUAAAGUACAGGGGUCGGAAGAGCUUCCAGAAUCAGAUGUUGGGGAAGAGCAUGCAUGCAUUAUGAAAUAGACAAAAAUGUAUUACGGCUGUCAUGGAAGCAGCCCCUGCCAACUCCUACAUGCAUUGGACAGGAGGAGGAAGUGCCUACAGCAGCUUCAACCACAAGAUGGGGACUGCAGAGGAAAGAUCAGCAGUUCAUUUCCUUUGUGCAUUUUGGCUGUUAGACCUGUGUAUGUUUAAAAAAAAUAAAAAGCCAGGGCUCAUU
This is a non-coding RNA of Microcebus murinus (gray mouse lemur), 1309 nucleotides long. The record is from RefSeq and is a predicted model, not a curated record. Lineage: Eukaryota; Metazoa; Chordata; Mammalia; Primates; Cheirogaleidae.